AGGGACCUGUCAAUCUAACGCGGAUCUGUUAAUCCCGCCCCCCCGGGGAUGCGAUUGGCCAGGCUGCCGCGGGGCGGGGCUUUCCGCUGGAUGUCCGGGCGGGGGGGCCGGCGAUUGGCCUGGGCUUCCUUUCGCUUCCGGGUAGCGGCCGCGCUCGUGGGGCUGCUGCUCCUCCCGCCUGGGCCCUGCGCCAUCCCCGGGAUGGACGGGCCGCGCUUCCCCUCCCGCACCCCCACCGCCGCCUCCGCGGGGCCGUGGGGAGGGCUGCACAGCAUGGCGGGGGGGGCCCUGCCGGGUGGCCGCUACUGUGCUCAGGCUCUCCCUUCGGGCCUGGGGGGACCCGAACACCCCCGGGCCCUGCCGGCGCUGCCGGCCCUCGGGCGGGAUCUGGGUUUUAUCCCGCUGGCCCUUUGGUGGUGCAGGCGGUGGUGGAGCUCCCUCGGGCCGGGGCUGUUUAAGAGCCAAGGGAAAUCCGUGGAGAAGGGACUGAGGGAGCCGGGCUGCGCUGGAGUGUCGGGCGGCUGUGCGGGGUGAAGCCGCGGUGCUAAAGCGUUUUCAGGUGGCAGCGGGGAAGCUGCUCUCAGAAAAGCAGCGCCGUUCAGUCGGCGCUUUUUGUCUCCGUAGGCAGCGGAGCUGUAUGUGGGCAGCUGGUAAAGGGCUGCAUGGGUCUGUCUUCCUUCGUGGCUUUGGCUGUGUUCAGGGACCGAUUUGUCUGCGUUCAGUUGUCCGGGUUUGGUUGGUUUUUGACGGGAUAAAGCAGGCGGUUUAUCUCACUGAGAAAGUAGCGGUGCUUUGCAUGCUCGGGUUUAGUGCUGGGAGGGGAGACCCGAGUAGCUUUGCACAGCUUGACCUGCCAGCUUGAGCUGGGUAAGGGUGGCAGCGGGAUGCAAGGAUGGGAGCAAGAUUGGGCUGGCUGCCUGCGCAAAAGGAUGGUUUAGUCGGUGCUGGAACAAGGGCAGAAGUGCCUGAUGUUAGCCAGAGAAGCGCUGGAUUUGGAACGUGUCCUGCAGACGGCCGUGCGUGCAGGCAGCUUUGCUUGAUCUCCUGGGCAGAUGCCGUAUGCUUUCCAAGAACCUGGCGCAGAGCGUGGCGGUCUCCUAAAGCAGCAGGGCCUGUCCUAUAAUGAUUUAAAUCAUCUGUUCAGAAGAAGUAUUAAUGGGAUUCCCAUAAGAUUCCUGACAUUUUGCUGAUGUUCCUGUUAGAAGACCUAUCACCUCAUUUUGAAAACAUUAUUAAAAGCACCAGUGUUCAAGCUGCGGGGCUUAAAUGCUCGCAGUUAGUCAUAAAUUGGGUUACCUUCAGGCAUUCUGCUGCAGAACAGAAUUAUUAUUUAUAAAUUUGUGGUUUAUUCUCAUAUGGUGUACAAGAAUGAUACUGUCAGCAGAAAGGUUUUUAUUUGUUUUUAAAAGGGGGAGGGUUAAGGUAGUUAGUGAGAAAGAAAGCCUUGUUUCAGCUUAUCGGAACAGAACACUUCUUUAUGUUCAAGUCCGAUAUCUCUGUGUCAUUCUGGGUUGUGAUAGUGACUGGAAAUGAAGUCCUUUAUUGUGCCCUAACAAUUGAGCUCUGUUUAGGUGGGGAUUUUUUGUUUAUUGAAGUUUUUAGGUGGGAUGGCUUGAGGUCCAGCUGUUCUGCAUGCCAGGUAAAUCAUCUCAGUGCACCAUUAGGGUAACAUCUGGAGGCACCAACAUAUCCUCAGUUCUGAGAGCAUUACAAAUGCUUAACAUGUACCUACAGUUCUGGGCUGCCUAAAUUGUGAACACUGAAAACACAUCUGUGAAAAGUUCCUGGUUAUUUUGGAAAUGUACUAGUUUGAAAAAGUUGUGCAACAAACAGCAGAAAUGUAAAAAUGCUGUGGGAGUUUUACUGGGUUUUACUGGGAAAUUGACAUUUUGGAAUCUGAACAGUAUCUAACUUCCUGUCCUGGAUCUAACCUGGAGAUCUGUAAGUGAGUUUGUUUCUGAACUGGAUAGGUAAUGAAAUAAUAUCUAUGGAUUUAUGGCAUAUUCCCAAGAUGGUGUUUGUGUUAGUCUUAAAGUACAACAGUCCAUUUCAUAAAUGAGAGAGGUGAAAAAUAUUUACACAAUUACCUGUGUCAGUUUAACUGAUGGGGAUAAACAUGACCUAAGGCACUUUUUGGACUUAAAUUAUCUAAGGAUGCCUUUGGCAGAGGGGGGUCAUACUAAUCGUCAAAGGGAAAAUGUCCGAGCCCCACAUUUAACAAAAAGAAUGUAAGAUCACAUUCAAGCUUGAUUGUAGAUCUUUAAAUGAGGCACUCUUUAGAUUUGAAGCUCACUUCUUAAUGACACUGAUAUCACUGUGUACCUCUUUUCACUCUGCUUUGUUAGUUGUGACACUGUCGUGAAGCAAGGACAAGUAAUACGACCUCUGUAAUAGAGAAGCAGAAUUAUUCUUUGGGAUAAGCAAGUUGCUUGCAACUGUUCUGAAUGAUGAAAAUCUUUUAGAUCCUUGUUUCUGAUUUGCAGGUGGUAGUGGUUCUUGAGUCUUUCAGUAUAACGGAGGAAGCAUAAUUUUAUAGGCAUCUAUUUCCAUGCAGAACUGAGAAAUACUACCUCUAAUGAGAAUACCUCUUGCCUCUUUUUACCCAGGAGUUAGGAAUGCUAAAGUCUUUCAUGGGCCUUAGAAAAAGACUGGCCAAACUCAAGAAAAAAAUUGAUCUGCUAAAUAAAAAGACACCAUUAUGGUAUCAAUUCCUGAGCCACAGAAGGCUAGGGAGUGGGGUUGUAACUAAACACAUGUCCUGUUCUUUGCUUCCUGUGCACUCACUUGUCCAGUGUCACAGAAACAGAGUCUUAAGCUCUGAGUAUGGUAAUUUGGACAAUUGUAAUUUAUUUAAAGUGCUGGAAGUGUCUCGGCCUUUAGUAAGGCUGGGAGAACCCCAGGGCACUCACUGCCUGUAGGAAAGAUUCUUGUGCCCCAGUUAAGGUCUGCCGGCACACUGUCACAGUAGCUUUCAUUGGCUUAGUUUGUUUUCAAAACGUGCAGGUGCCGUGAGGCAGCCGAGCAUCUGCGAUUAUCGUGUAUGUCGUGACCACGAGGGGGCCCUGGCAGCUCCGGUCUGGGCGAGCCCGGAGUUACGCGCAGCGCUGGAAGGGCAGGGCUGAUACCUUGCUGCCUCAGAGAGUGGUUACAUCCCUUCUUGUUCAGCACUUCUGAGUUACCUUACCUCUUCUAUAUAUUUUUUUUUUUCUAAUUACAGUGUUUUGCUGUGUAAUUUUGAGACAUGCACCACUUUACCAAAACUCACCUCAGCUUUAAUAAAUAGCACUGGCCGUUUGAUCUCUUCUUGUGGCAGAAGACAGAUAGUACCAAGUGUGUCAUCACAUGUGAGUUUCAUCUGUAUGAGCUAUUAUUUCCCCAAGUAAAAAUUCAAGACUUUUGCACACAUCGCUGUAUUUGUAAAACAGAUGGAAUUGCUAUGAAGAAUCUUAAUGAUAAGGUGUUUUGUAAAGAGUUUUUAAGCUUGGUACUACAAUAUUUCAAUAAAGAUUUUUUUCUCUACACA
Molecule: long non-coding RNA, 3523 nt
Organism: Corvus hawaiiensis (hawaiian crow)
Lineage: Eukaryota; Metazoa; Chordata; Aves; Passeriformes; Corvidae
Exons: 2
Source: RefSeq, a predicted model, not a curated record